RNAcentral lists this long non-coding RNA (549 nucleotides) under Salmo salar (Atlantic salmon). RNAcentral describes it as "lncRNA (ENSSSAG00000115198.1, ENSSSAG00075033924.1)". The record is from RNAcentral. Lineage: Eukaryota; Metazoa; Chordata; Actinopteri; Salmoniformes; Salmonidae.
CAGCGCUGCAGCAGUUAAGUAGCAUGGCUGCAGCAGUUAGGUAGCAUGGCUGCAGCAGUUAGGUAGCAUGGCUGCAGCAAUUAGGUAGCAGCGCUGCAGCAGUUAGGUAGCAUGGCUGCAGCAGUUAGGUAGCAUGGCUGCAGCAGUUAGGUAGCAGCGCUGCAGCAGUUAGGUAGCAUGGCUGCAGUAGUUAGGUAGCAUGGCUGCAGCAGUUAGGUAGCAUGGCUGCAGCAGUUAGGUAGCAUGGCGGCAGUAGUUAGGUAGCAUGGCGGCAGCAGUUAGGUAGCAGCGCUGCAGCAGUUAGGUAGCAUGGCGGCAGCAGUUAGGUAGCAUGGCAGCAGUAGUUAGGUAGCAUGGCGGCAGUAGUUAGGUAGCAUGGCGGCAAUAGUUAGGUAGCAUAGCAGCAGCAGUUAGGUAGCAGCGCUGCAACAGUUAGGUAGCAUGGCAGCAGUAGUUAGGUAGCAGCGCUGCAGCAGUUAGGAAAGGGGUUCUUUCACCUUACCAUAAAUUGUCUGUCUUUUACAUAACCUUUAAUGAGGAACCAGAAAA